This 497-nucleotide ribosomal RNA is filed under the name uncultured bacterium. Its description in RNAcentral is "partial 16S ribosomal RNA". It matches the Rfam family "Bacterial small subunit ribosomal RNA", at positions 28 to 507 of the family's 1533-position model. The record is from RNAcentral.
GAUGAACGCUGGCGGCGGGCCUAAUACAUGCAAGUCGAGCGCUCAUAUGAGUAGCUUGCUCCUCUGCCGUUGGCGGCGGACGGGGGAGUAACAAGUGGAUCACCUCCCUAUAAGACGGGGAUCACUGCGGAAAACCGGAGCUACUACCGGAGAAUAUAUUGAACCACAUUUUUCCAUAGAAAAAGGCGGUUUUGCUGUCGCUGAUCGAUGGUUCCGCGCCGCAUUAGCUAGUUGGUCAGGUCACGGCUUACCAAGGCAACGAUGCGUAGCCGAGCUGAGAGGGGGAUCGGCCACCCUAGAAGGGAGACACGGUCCAGACCCGUACGGUAGGGAGCAGUAGGGUAACUUACGCAAGAGGCGGAAGCCUGACCGAGCCCCGCCGCGUGAGGUACGAAGAGCUGCGGAUCGUAAAUCUCUGUUAUUAUGGAAGAACAAAUGUGUAAGUAACGAUGCGCUUCUUGACGGUACUUAAUGAGAAAGCCACGGCUAACUACGUG